CCUUCAUCAAAUCUGUAAGGUCAUUUGCAUGAAAGAACAUUAGAAUCAGCGUUAAAGCCCAAGUUUUUCAUAGCCAGAGGAUAAUUGAUUUGAGGCACAAAGUCUUGUUCAAUUACAUUCAUUACAGCUCUGACAGCUGCAGCUCUGUGAACUAGUGACAGUUGGCAUCAUCAGAGAGAGCAUCACUGGAAUCAGAUCAGUUCUGACAACCUGACAAUAGGCUGCUAAUCUCUAUAUGUCGGCAGCAUGAAAAGAAAGGUCUGAAAGGUUGGUCUGACUGAGCUGUGCUAAAGCCUGCGGUUUAUCUGAGGCGCUCUCUGCAUGACGACACGCUGGAUGAGGAGCCUGAGAGUGUUGAGUUCAUCGGACUGCGUUGGGCGUCAGACCAGAAGGGGUCACUGUGUCACCGUCGCUGUGCAGUCGCUGCUGUCCCCUUUGUGUCUGCUGAGAUAACAGCCACCAUACAAACAGAGCAGCUCAGUGCUGAUGUGGCGAAGGUGUGAAACUGUUUGCUCUUAACAUAACUCUGCCAGAGAGGACGCCGUGCUCUGUGACAUCAGCACUGGACUCAGAUGAAAGCAGGAAGAGCUGCGCUAGCUAAAUUUGUCCUUGUGAGGGAUUAGCCUUCAGACAGGAGGCCUCGGUUACACCCCCUCAGCAUCGACAUGGAAAUGGAGCCACAUGGAGAUGAGUGCGCCCAUAAUCCAAUGGCAUGCUGUGCCUCAAGUUUUCCUGACC
Gambusia affinis (western mosquitofish) is the source of this 738-nucleotide long non-coding RNA. RefSeq lists it as uncharacterized. The transcript has 4 exons. The record is from RefSeq and is a predicted model, not a curated record. Lineage: Eukaryota; Metazoa; Chordata; Actinopteri; Cyprinodontiformes; Poeciliidae.